RNAcentral lists this signal recognition particle RNA (99 nucleotides) under Pseudomonadota bacterium. RNAcentral's name for it is "Proteobacteria bacterium (freshwater metagenome) signal recognition particle sRNA small type". It matches the Rfam family "Bacterial small signal recognition particle RNA". Rfam says of the family: The signal recognition particle (SRP) is a universally conserved ribonucleoprotein involved in the co-translational targeting of proteins to membranes. Archaeal SRP consists of a 7S RNA and homologues of the eukaryotic SRP19 and SRP54 proteins. The record is from RNAcentral. Lineage: Bacteria; Pseudomonadati; Pseudomonadota.
GGCUCGGCCCUGCGCGAAAAAUCCUUGUGAACCCCGUCAGGUCCGGAAGGAAGCAGCGGUAGCAAGACGGUUUCUGCGACGCAGGUUCCCCGAGCCUCC